RNAcentral lists this ribosomal RNA (1311 nucleotides) under Unio pictorum (painter's mussel). RNAcentral describes it as "16S ribosomal RNA". The stretch from base 865 to 1212 matches the Rfam family "Archaeal large subunit ribosomal RNA", at positions 2150 to 2716 of the family's 2987-position model. Lineage: Eukaryota; Metazoa; Mollusca; Bivalvia; Unionida; Unionidae. The record is from RNAcentral.
AUACUAUGUACUAACUAUACCACAACUUUAUAAGACAAACCAUAAUCAGAUUAGUAAUGCCAAAAAAAUUCUGACUUUUCUAGACUACCGCAAGGUACACUAAAACUAUAACCCUAGAAGUGACUAACUCACCUACCUUUUGCAUAAUGUAAUUGCAAGAACAAAAGAUUUAUCUAUCCUUUCCCGAAAAGUGGAGAGCUACUACAAACAUUUAACCAUUAAUGUAACACUAUUAAAACACAGUUUAUAGUAGCAGCAAAAUACCUAUCGAGCCACUUGAUAGCUGGUUGUCCCUUAAAGACAUAUAAGUGUCUUUUUACAGAAAAAAAUAAAAUAAUUCUUCUGUAAAAAAAACUCUAAGAAGGACAAGCCCCUUAGAGCCCCUAGAAAUAGCAGAAUAAUAACACCUCAGAAAGGCUUAAAAACAGCCAAAAAUAUCCGUUAUAGGAAAUGACACUAAAAAUCAAAAUAAAUUACUAAAUUCUUAACCAUCAAGGAACCUUACAGACUAACCAACCCUUUAAUGAACCGGCAAUUAUUAGUAUCACAAAGUUUAUUAAAAAGGUUCAUCCAAUAUAAAUAAAACAACCUAAAAAUAACUCUAACACUUUAAUUUACCUUUGGUAAUGAACUCGGCAAAACUUUUCUCUGCCUGUUUAUCAAAAACAUCGUCUUUUGCCAUUACACCCAUAAAAGAUACUGCCUGCCCCAUGAUUUAAUUUAAAUGGCCGCGUUAGCGUGAGCGUGCUAAGGUAGCGUAAUAAACAGCUCCCUAAUUAGGAGCCAGUGAAUGGCCAAACAAAGAAAAACUUUAUCACCAAUGAUAAGAAAAAUUUUCUUCUAAGUGAAAAGACUUAGAUUAAAGAAAAAGACAAAAAGACCCCGCGGAACUCCCUUACAGCUUUACCACUUAAAUUAAACUUAAGCUUACAGCUAACUGGUUGGUUGGGGCAACCUUGGAAUAAUUAAAACCUCCAUUAAUUUCAAAAAACCAUGCAAAACUUGUUAUGGACUACAUUUGUAGUUACCCCGGGGAUAACAGCGUAAUCCAACUUAAGAGUACGAAUCGAAAGUUGGGUUUGCGACCUCGAUGUUGGCUUAGGGAAGCCACUUGGCGCAGCCGCUAAGUUACAAGGCCAGUCUGUUCGACUGCUAACCCCCUACAUGAGCUGAGUUAAGACCGGCGAGAGCUAGGUUGGAUUCUAUCUUUUCCUUUUAACAUAAAUUCUUUAUUGUACGAAAGGACCCAAAGAAGCACACUAAAGUGUUCACAAUAAAAAACAACUUUUACAUUAAUUAACCAUUUUAAUA